This is a non-coding RNA of Cyanistes caeruleus (blue tit), 3937 nucleotides long. Lineage: Eukaryota; Metazoa; Chordata; Aves; Passeriformes; Paridae. The record is from RefSeq and is a predicted model, not a curated record.
GUUCGGUCACGAGUGCGCGGCACGCAGGCGCUGAGCGGCAGCGGGGGGACGGGGACGGGGCCCCACAAAGGCGCGGACGGUCCCUGGGUUGGUACCGCAGCCACCGGGAUGUGCCCGAAGAGUUGAGCGGUUCUGCUCAACCGGGGGAAUUUGAACUCCGCGAGUGUGCCCGACCCCAACGGCGUAAAGCCGGGGUAAAGAGUGGCGAAUUAAUGCAGCAAACACUUGAAAAUAAUCUUAUAAUACACGGACUUGGGGUUAAUUUUGGUGGUGGCUUCGCUCCGUGCCUCUGCCACAAGUGUGGUGCAGCUCGGCGCGGAACGCGUACCCGGCUGGUGCCGGCACCGCUCCCGGCACUGCACCCACGUGUCUUGUGAGAACCGGUCAUAAAAUCUAGAAUGUAUUGUAAAUGGUGCUAAACAGGUGUUAAAUAAAACAAAAUUGCCUUUUCAAUAUGCAUGUACAACAGGUAGUUAGAAAUCGCAUGAAAAAGUAGAUAAAAAAUGCUAUAAAGUAGUUGUUGAUGGAGAUCCUGCAGUUCCUAAAACUAUCGGCGGGUCUCAUUUCUACAACACCCCCUAACAUCUAUUCUAAAUUGAUGCUGAGCAAUACUGGGACCAUCUGAUUGCAAUAGCAGGGUCAGAGUGCAGGUUUUGAACAGCCCCCAGGUUCCACAGCGUGGCUCCUCUCUGAAGUGACAUCCUUUACUUCCCCUCCACACCUCCCAAGAAAGGGAACAUCAAAGGAUACCCAAACCCAGGGUCGGGGCUGAUGGCUUUGGCAGUGCUCCUCUGGUUUGCUUUUUGCAAUCAGUUAAGCAUCCUAGGUAUUAUAUGAAAUAUAUUAAGUGUUAAUGCAAAAUUUAAAACACAUUAAAAUUCAACUUUGCAGGCCUUGCCGUUGAUCUCUUUUAAUGAUCCAUGACACGUGGAUAAAGGCAGGAGAGGACGGAGUUCUAACAGGAUUUAAGGCAGCGAGCUUCUUAUGAUUCUGCCAAGAACUGUUUGCAGAAUCUUGAAAAAUCAUGUAAUCUUUCUCUAACAUCUCCCUAUUUGCAGAUGAUUGAACUUUAUUAUGGUAUGGAAGUGUUUUAUAGGCUAUAUAUUGAAGUGUGGAUUCCAGAUGUCUGUUGGAGCAAGUGCAUUAUUAAUCCAUAAUCCUGAGGAGAUAUAUACAUAUCUUGACCUUUCAGCCAAGAUUACUCAAUCUUAAAAUUAAAUACAUGUGUACAUCUGUAGGAUUGAGGUCAGAAUACAAGAUAAAUGGAUGUUACUAGAGAAUCAUCAGACAAAAAACACAUCAUCCAUCCAUACUGCAAAAGUCUACCAAAAGAGACAGAAGAGAGACAUAAAAGAAAAUCAACUCAUUUUUCUAAAUAUUUUUUUUUGGACAUGGACAAUCUGAGACUCUUGGUGUAUCAAGCAAACCCACCAAGGACUCUAUCCAUCACAUACACCUGGAAACACCAGAACACAUUAUAGAAGUGUGGAAGUAAAUGCUUCAGAAACAACACAGUUUCUAUCUAUAGAUCUCCAAAAAUAGAAAACACUUUUUAAACCUUGUUUUAGGCCAGAAAUGAUACCUAUUCCAAUACAGUUCAUUAUACCAUAGAAAUAGUCUGUGUGUCAAUAACAAAAAGCCUAUCCCAGACUUAAAAGAACUGGGGAAAAAAGGGGAGGGGGAAUGUGUAGGUUGUGGAUGAUGAGAAUAUCCAUAUCCACAGCUGCAUUAGACAGGAUAAAACCACUUAGAAGCAAUAUUAAAUUUCCAUGCUUAGUGAUGGCUGAUGAGGGUUGGGGUUUCCCCUCUGAGCAGAUCAUGGCACAGUUUUCCAACAGUGCCCAGAGCUGGGCCCCAUCAGGAGGUGCUUGGAUGGGACAGCCCAGGGCUGACACAAGGCUGGCCUUCUUCACAGUCAAAAAUACGGGAAAAACACCUCAACUUUGUGAAACAGUGUCAAAACCACAGUAUCAACUGUGGAAAAGGAGUGGUGGUUAUUGGGAAAGGGGCUGGGCUAAACUCUUUGAAAAAAACCACUAAAACAUUUUUUUGCUAGAUAUAAAUGUAGCUUAAAUUAUUUAAGAUCUAAUCAUGCCAAGGCGCUGGAUCCUGACCUUGUUAGCUUAGAGCAGGGAGCUGUCAUUUAAUUAAUGUUGUACUGUGGGGCUCAUGCUGAAAGCAGAGCUGAAGUGCUAUGCUGGGGAAGGCUCUAAGAAGACAUGGGAUCAUUUCACCCCACUGAGCUUUAGAACUGUUACUUCCCAUUGCACAGAAUGGACUGGACUAAUCUUAAAACAUUUUUUGAAAAUACUGUUUAUCCUGUGAGAUCUACCAUUCUAUACUUUCUUUACCUUGGGUUGUGAUGGAAGAUGAGAUAUUUAAGUAUUUCACUGUUUUAUGAAGGAAGCAGACAUUUUUCUAGACAUGGCAGAUCUAAAGCUUUCCUCUGCAGAAAUUCCAUCAACUAAAUGUUAAGCUCUACUUCAGAUGUUUCCCUUAACCUCCCUGGGACUGCUGGCAAACCUGUAUUUGCCUUUUGCUAGUUCAAAUGUAUUGUUUUUAAUGCAGAUCUACCAUGACUUCCACUUUGUGGUGGCUUGAUUCGGGUUGGAUGCAGGAACAGGAACAAAUGGAAGUGCUGAUUUACAUAUGAAGCUGGAGAUCCGUUUUAGCAAAGCUGCUCUGGCGAGGGCAGCACCACGGUGCGCUCAGCACCGGAUCACAUUAAUCACAGGGUACUUAGAGAACCUAUUCAGCCUCCUACAGAAAAUACAGAAGUACAUUUUUAGCAGAAAAAAAAAGAACUGUGAGUAUCCUUGUGACAGUGUACAGAUUUCUCAGGGCUUUCUGGAAAGAAACUUGGACUUCUGCCACCUGCUUCGAUUGUGUUCAUGCAUAAAUGAUCCAGAGAACGGGUUGACAUUACCUCUAAUUAGGGGUAAUAACAGCUUGCUGCUGAAAGGGCCCGUUCCCUUUCUCUUGCAUGUACAUCCCUCACUUUUCCUGCAUUAGGUCUGGUGCUGGUGCAGCCACGGGGCGAGGCAGUUCAGUGACCCAAACCAGGAGAAAACUCAGCCAUUACGAAAAAUAAUAUAUAUUUUUUUCAUUAAGUCAAUCCACUGAAGCUCUGUAACCAUUAGAUCGGUGCGAUCCACAGGCUGGAGAGGGCUGAGAUGAAGGGAGAGGGCAGGAUACACCCUUUUGGUGGCCUUCCGCAAUUGCACAGGUCACAGGUGACAGCAAACCCCGGCCCUGAGCCCCAGCGUGACUUCAGAAGAACUCCCUGAAGCAUUUCUAAGAGUUAAUUAAGCAUGGCUGACUCCUUCAGUUUCAGCUCACUCCAGAGUGGCAGUGUAGAGUUGUGUCAUAAUGAGUAAUAGAGUUGGAAAUAAUUUUUCCUGUUUAGUUUGUACCUCAGAUGGAGCUGUAAAAUGGGUCAGAAAGGGAAAAGGGUGCAUUGCUGUGGACCUCAUGUUGAUCCUUAGUGUAUGUUUUUUUGUUUAACAAGCUAAUUUUUCUUUUCUUUCUUACAGGAAAGAAAUAUUUACUUCAAAGCUACAACACUGAGGCUUGGAAUCUUAAAAUGACACAAGUGUCUGGCUUGGAAAAGGGCGUGAGAUGAAAUGCCUUCGCUGAUUCUGCAGGUCCUUUUUCAUACUGAUCCUCUGAAUGAAAUACAAACUCAGCAGUACAUCAGUGUUUAAUGUUGCUCAACAGGUUUGUUUCUUACUUAUCCCUUGAGUCUCCUGAUGCACAAAUUUGAUGUGGCACAAGUGUAUUGCUUCACCUUUUCAGAAAUCACCUUCAGAACUGUGCCAAGUAUUCACUAGGGAGUUCUGCUCUACGCCUUAAUUUUCCCUCUGUAAAACACAGAAAAAAUGAAUUAUGGUUUAAAGGGUUUAUGUGAACUUGGUAAUAAAAAAAUCUUUCAACACUG